RNAcentral lists this ribosomal RNA (497 nucleotides) under uncultured bacterium. RNAcentral's name for it is "partial 16S ribosomal RNA". It matches the Rfam family "Bacterial small subunit ribosomal RNA", at positions 28 to 507 of the family's 1533-position model. The record is from RNAcentral.
GAUGAACGCUGGCGGCGUGCCUAAUACAUGCAAGUCGAGCGAACAGACGAGGAGCUUGCUCCUCUGACGUUAGCGGCGGACGGGUGAGUAACACGUGGAUAACCUACCUAUAAGACUGGGAUAACUUCGGGAAACCGGAGCUAAUACCGGAUAACAUGUUGAACCGCAUGGUUCAACAGUGAAAGACGGUCUUGCUGUCACUUAUAGAUGGAUCCGCGCCGCAUUAGCUAGUUGGUAAGGUAACGGCUUACCAAGGCAACGAUGCGUAGCCGACCUGAGAGGGGGACCGGCCACACGGGACCUGAGACACGGUCCAGACUCCUACGGGAGGCAGCAGUAGGGAAUCUUCCGCAAUGGGCGAAAGCCUGACGGAGCAACGCCGCGUGAGUGAAGAAGGUCUUCGGAUCGUAAAACUCUGUUAUUAGGGAAGAACAAAUGUGUAAGUAACUAUGCACGUCUUGACGGUACCUAAUCAGAAAGCCACGGCUAACUACGUG